GACGAACGCUGGCGGCGUGCUUAACACAUGCAAGUCGAACGGUGAAGCGCCUUCCUUUUUGGUGGGUGUGGAUGAGUGGCGAACGGGUGAGUAACACGUGAGUAACCUGCCCCCUUCUUCUGGAUAACCGCAUGAAAGUGUGGCUAAUACGGGAUAUUCUGGGUCUGUCGCAUGAUGGGUCUGGGAAAGAUAUUGUUUCGGUGGGGGAUGGGCUCGCGGCCUAUCAGCUUGUUGGUGGGGUGAUGGCCUACCAAGGCGGUGACGGGUAGCCGGCCUGAGAGGGUGGACGGUCACACUGGGAAUGAGACACGGCCCAGACGCCUACGGGAGGCAGCAGUGGGGAAUAUUGCACAAUGGGCGCAAGCCUGAUGCAGCGACGCCGCGUGAGGGAUGGAGGCCUUCGGGUUGUGAACCUCUUUCGCCAGUGAAGCAGGCCUGCCUCGUUUGUGGGUGGGUUGACGGUAGCUGGAUAAGAAGCGCCGGCUAACUACGUG
Molecule: ribosomal RNA, 494 nt
Filed under: uncultured bacterium
Lineage: Bacteria
Description: partial 16S ribosomal RNA
Rfam family: Bacterial small subunit ribosomal RNA
Source: RNAcentral